RNAcentral lists this small RNA (76 nucleotides) under Xanthomonas populi. RNAcentral's name for it is "sX9 sRNA". It matches the Rfam family "Xanthomonas sRNA sX9". The record is from RNAcentral. Lineage: Bacteria; Pseudomonadati; Pseudomonadota; Gammaproteobacteria; Lysobacterales; Lysobacteraceae.
AUGUACCACUUGUACACUCCGGUUCCUGCGCGCCGUCCGCACCCAACUGACAACUGCUCGCAACGUUUUGUCAGCC